GGGCCCGUAGCUCAGCCUGGCAGAGCGGCCGGCUCAUAACCGGUAGGUCGUGGGUUCGAAUCCCACCGGGCCCA
RNAcentral lists this transfer RNA (74 nucleotides) under Nitrososphaerota archaeon. RNAcentral's name for it is "tRNA-Met". It matches the Rfam family "tRNA". From Rfam's summary of the family: Transfer RNA (tRNA) molecules are approximately 80 nucleotides in length. RNAcentral also lists the same sequence under 3 other names. The record is from RNAcentral. Lineage: Archaea; Thermoproteati; Nitrososphaerota.